RNAcentral lists this ribosomal RNA (301 nucleotides) under uncultured bacterium. RNAcentral's name for it is "partial 16S ribosomal RNA". It matches the Rfam family "Bacterial small subunit ribosomal RNA", at positions 509 to 807 of the family's 1533-position model. The record is from RNAcentral.
CAGCAACCGCGGUAAUACGGAGGGGGCUAGCGUUGUUCGGAAUUACUGGGCGUAAAGCGCACGUAGGCGGCUUGGUAAGUUAGAGGUGAAAGCCUGGAGCUCAACUCCAGAAUUGCCUUUAAGACUGCCGAGCUAGCAGGUGAGAGAGGUAAGUGGAAUUCCGAGUGUAGAGGUGAAAUUCGUAGAUAUUCGGAAGAACACCAGUGGCGAAGGCGGCUUACUGGCUCAUACUGGACGCUGAGGUGCGAAAGCGUGGGGAGCAAACAGGAUUAGAUACCCCCGUAGUCCCUGUCUCUUAUAC